AUACGUAGGGAGCGAGCGUUGUCCGGAAUUACUGGGUGUAAAGGGAGCGUAGGCGGGACGGCAAGUCAGAUGUGAAAUACAUGGGCUCAACCCAUGGGCUGCAUUUGAAACUGCUGUUCUUGAGUGAAGUAGAGGUAAGCGGAAUUCCUGGUGUAGCGGUGAAAUGCGUAGAUAUCAGGAGGAACACCGGUGGCGAAGGCGGCUUACUGGGCUUUUACUGACGCUGAGGCUCGAAAGCGUGGGGAGCAAACAGGAUUAGAUACCCUGGUAGUCCACGCUGUAAACGAUGAUCACUAGGUGUGGGGGGACUGACCCCUUCCGUGCCGCAGUUAACACAAUAAGUGAUCCACCUGGGGAGUACGGCCGCAAGGUUGAAACUCAAAUGAAUUGGCGGGG
Molecule: ribosomal RNA, 396 nt
Filed under: uncultured bacterium
Lineage: Bacteria
Description: partial 16S ribosomal RNA
Rfam family: Bacterial small subunit ribosomal RNA
Source: RNAcentral